GGAGUUAGCCGGUGCUUCUUCUGCGAGUAACGUCACAGAUGUAAGGUAUUAACUUACACCCUUUCCUCCUCGCUGAAAGUGCUUUACAACCCGAAGGCCUUCUUCACACACGCGGCAUGGCUGCAUCAGGGUUUCCCCCAUUGUGCAAUAUUCCCCACUGCUGCCUCCCGUAGGAGUCUGGGCCGUGUCUCAGUCCCAGUGUGGCUGAUCAUCCUCUCAGACCAGCUAGGGAUCGUCGCCUAGGUGAGCCUUUACCUCACCUACUAGCUAAUCCCACCUGGGCUUAUCCAUCAGCGCAAGGCCCGAAGGUCCCCUGCUUUCCCCCGUAGGGCGUAUGCGGUAUUAGCAGUCGUUUCCAACUGUUAUCCCCCACAAAUGGGCAAAUUCCCAGGCAUUACUCACCCGUCCGCCGCUCGUCAUCUUCAAAAGCAAGCUUUUGAAAUGUUACCGCUCGACUUGCAUGUGUUAGGCCUGCCGCCAGCGUUCAAUCUGAGCCAAUGAUACCAAACUCUGA
This 514-nucleotide ribosomal RNA is filed under the name uncultured bacterium. RNAcentral's name for it is "partial 16S ribosomal RNA". The record is from RNAcentral.